CACAACAACAACACGUGCAGAUCCUGCAGAUGGUUUAGUCUUAAAAGCUGUUAAUGUCACCUUGACAGCACAUCUUUCCGCUCAACUGCAAACACAACUCGACUCACAGUCUGAUAAAAUGAGUGUCACGCGACUCACCUAAUAAGUGAUGUCUUGUUGGUUGUAAACUCGUCCGGCUGAAGCAGAGCUCUGGACGUGUGGACAGACAUUGACUGUAAUGAUGGACAGUCUGUGCAAAAGUAUAACCUCUGCGGGUCACGGUGCUGGAAGCUCCAGGGGGAGACCGUACUGAUAUCCCCCUUCUUCAGGCAUGCCUUCACACACACUCCAGCAUUCACUCAUAUCGCAGAGACCUGGCUGGGGUCAAACCAGCAACCUCUGAACCCGUGAGGCAGCGCUCAUACCUGUGAGCCACAGGUCUCUUGUUGGAAUACAUGAAGGAACUUAUAUUUGACAGUUUACCUGUGAUUUCCCAAUAAAGAUGUUAAAGUAAAGUGUGUAUGUGGUUUUUGGAGGAGAGAUUUGAACCCAUGUCUCUAUCACAAACUCCGAAAAUGUGUGUUUAUCCACUAAGCCAUCAUGGAUUUCACAUGGUGUUUUGGCGUUUGAGUGACUUUGUUGGCUGAGACCAGUUUAAAGUAAGCAAUAAUGGGAUUAGAACCAGGACUUUUAUAUGUGAGAGUGAAACCUUUAACCACUGAGCCACAGAGAUUGUAGGUAUGUACUUGUUUUUAUUUUUAGGGUCAUUUAGAUUUUAAGUUUAAGUUCAGGCUGAGUAAAAGAUUUUAUUGCUUCUGUGGGAUUUGAACACGUCUUUGUUGUAGUUUCAUGAUUCAAAGUCACGUUUAGCCAAAGCACCACUAGGCUUUUAUAUUGUUUGACCCUCAAUUUAGGUUAGACACAAGUAAGUUUAAAACUCUCUAUAUUUGAUUCAGUACUUUCACACC
Molecule: long non-coding RNA, 947 nt
Organism: Sinocyclocheilus anshuiensis
Lineage: Eukaryota; Metazoa; Chordata; Actinopteri; Cypriniformes; Cyprinidae
Exons: 3
Source: RefSeq, a predicted model, not a curated record